This 253-nucleotide ribosomal RNA is filed under the name uncultured bacterium. Its description in RNAcentral is "partial 16S ribosomal RNA". It matches the Rfam family "Bacterial small subunit ribosomal RNA", at positions 524 to 776 of the family's 1533-position model. The record is from RNAcentral.
UACGUAGGUGGCAAGCGUUGUCCGGAAUUAUUGGGCGUAAAGCGCGCGCAGGCGGUCCUUUAAGUCUGAUGUGAAAGCCCACGGCUCAACCGUGGAGGGUCAUUGGAAACUGGGGGACUUGAGUGCAGGAGAGAAGAGUGGAAUUCCACGUGUAGCGGUGAAAUGCGUAGAGAUGUGGAGGAACACCAGUGGCGAAGGCGGGUCUCUGGGCCGUAACUGACGCUGAGGUGCGAAAGCGUGGGGAGCGAACAGG